This 253-nucleotide ribosomal RNA is filed under the name uncultured bacterium. RNAcentral's name for it is "partial 16S ribosomal RNA". It matches the Rfam family "Bacterial small subunit ribosomal RNA", at positions 524 to 776 of the family's 1533-position model. The record is from RNAcentral.
UACGAAGGGGGCUAGCGUUGUUCGGAAUUACUGGGCGUAAAGGGCGCGUAGGCGGUACUUCAAGUCAGGCGUGAAAGCCCCGGGCUCAACCUGGGAACCGCGCUUGAGACUGGAGAACUAGAGUUCGGGAGAGGAUGGUGGAAUUCCCAGUGUAGAGGUGAAAUUCGUAGAUAUUGGGAAGAACACCGAUGGCGAAGGCAGCCAUCUGGACCGACACUGACGCUGAUGCGCGAAAGCCAGGGGAGCAAACGGG